UCCUGUCCUGGUGGAGCGAGGGGAGAAGCGGUCGUUGUCCGCCUUUGCGCCGGUUGCCGCGGUGAGGUGGUGUGGGUAGAGUGCCCUCCGUUCCCUAGGCAGCCGCAGCCCUAGAGGAGGCACCUCGCAUCCAGGGCAAUUAUUCCUGCCUGGAGACAUAAUUUCUGAGUAAACUCCAGCUUCCUAACUGUUGCAGUACCAACGAAAGCAAGCAUUAGACUUCCUUACAAAGUGUAUGUCAGCUUAGGCCAGCACAACAGGAAGAAUUCUUUUGACUGGGCUGAAAGAACCAGCAUUUACUCAAAGCCUCUCAUUCAACACAGCAGAUGGCAUACCUACCUUGCUGAAACUAGAGAUGCUUUCUGUGAUCUGCUCAGUUGGCAAGAUCUGCUGUAUCUCAGGCAGAAUGCACAUGAUACAGACAUGGUCAGGCAACUGUCUCACCUGUCCUAGGAGGAAGCUAAUGAUGGAUUCACAGUAUUUUUGAAGGAAAAAUGUUAACAUUUUUGAUUGCAUGACUGUAUGCUUCAACUGUCAUAAAGAGCAGGUGUUUCUUUCCUUCCUUCUGUACCCUACACACACACAAGCAAUUAAGUUUUAAGUAUUAAUAUGAGGAAAGACCUGAUUUUAUUUGUGUUAAGUCCUUUUUUGAAAUCACCACACUGAAAAAAAAAAAAAAAAGCCAGCUGACAAGUAUUGUUUUGUCUGUCCCUUCGAAAUGGGGGGAAAAGUAUUUUGAAAUGGCAAGACACAAACUUGGCAAAAUGAUGCUGGAAGAAAUACCAAGCAUUGCUGUAAGUGCCCCUCAGGUAAACAAGCCCUUUGGCAAAAUCGUAGCACAAUGGCCAAAGCAAACUCUUUAAGACUGUCCUCUUGAUGUCAUGAUGUAGAAGAGGGGAGCAGCUGGAUACCAGGGCUGCCACAAUUAAAACUGAAUGAACUUUGACAAGAUUGUUAAAGAAAAGCUACGGUAGGGAAUAGUAAAUUCAUGGUGGUGCAGCACACUGGAAAAAGCAGACUGCUGCUUAGAUACUGGUGAUAAACACUGUGACAAGCCCAAGAGAGCAGGAGACAGACAUUCGCAUCAGCUCCACGUUAGGCGCCUUUUGCUCAGGGUGGGUUUUUGGUGAUUGUCUUGUUUUCAUUAAGUCAGAGAGAAUAUGCAGUUACAGAAGUAGUACAGUGCUUUUAUAUA
This is a long non-coding RNA of Pezoporus flaviventris, 1195 nucleotides long. RefSeq lists it as uncharacterized. Lineage: Eukaryota; Metazoa; Chordata; Aves; Psittaciformes; Psittacidae. The record is from RefSeq and is a predicted model, not a curated record. The transcript is spliced from 3 exons.